CGGCCCAGACUCCUACGGGAGGCAGCAGUAGGGAAUCUUCCGCAAUGGACGCAAGUCUGAUGGAGCAACGCCGCGUGAGUGAAGAAGGUUUCGGCUCGUAAAGCUCUGUUGUUAAAGAAGAACGUGGGUGAGAGUAACUGUUCACCCAGUGACGGUAUUUAACCAGAAAGCCACGGCUAACUACGUGCCAGCAGCCGCGGUAAUACGUAGGUGGCAAGCGUUAUCCGGAUUUAUUGGGCGUAAAGCGAGCGCAGGCGGUCUUUUAAGUCUAAUGUGAAAGCCUUCGGCUCAACCGAAGAAGUGCAUUGGAAACUGGGAGACUUGAGUGCAGAAGAGGACAGUGGAACUCCAUGUGUAGCGGUGAAAUGCGUAGAUAUAUGGAAGAACACCAGUGGCGAAGGCGGCUGUCUGGUCUGUAACUGACGCUGAGGCUCGAAAGCAUGGGUAGCGAACAGGAUUAGAUACCCUGGUAGUCCAUGCCGUAAACGAUGAUUACUAAGUGUUGGAGGGUUUCCGCCCUUCAGUGCUGCAGCUAACGCAUUAAGUAAUCCGCCUGGGGAGUACGACCGCAAGGUUGAAACUCAAAAGAAUUGACGGGGGCCCGCACAAGCGGUGGAGCAUGUGGUUUAAUUCGAAGCUACGCGAAGAACCUUACCAGGUCUUGACAUCUUCUGCCAACCUAAGAGAUUAGGCGUUCCCUUCGGGGACAGAAUGACAGGUGGUGCAUGGUUGUCGUCAGCUCGUGUCGUGAGAUGUUGGGUUAAGUCCCGCAACGAGCGCAACCCUUAUUACUAGUUGCCAGCAUUCAGUUGGGCACUCUAGUGAGACUGCCGGUGACAAACCGGAGGAAGGUGGGGACGACGUCAAAUCAUCAUGCCCCUUAUGACCUGGGCUACACACGUGCUACAAUGGAUGGUACAACGAGUUGCGAAACCGCGAGGUUUAGCUAAUCUCUUAAAACCAUUCUCAGUUCGGACUGUAGGCUGCAACUCGCCUACACGAAGUCGGAAUCGCUAGUAAUCGCGGAUCAGCAUGCCGCGGUGAAUACGUUCCCGGGCCUUGUACACACCGCCCGUCACACCAUGAGAGUUUGUAACACCCAAAGCCGGUGGGGUAACCUUUUAGGAGC
This 1129-nucleotide ribosomal RNA is filed under the name Pediococcus acidilactici. RNAcentral describes it as "bacterial SSU rRNA". It matches the Rfam family "Bacterial small subunit ribosomal RNA", at positions 327 to 1449 of the family's 1533-position model. The record is from RNAcentral. Lineage: Bacteria; Bacillati; Bacillota; Bacilli; Lactobacillales; Lactobacillaceae.